UGAACACGGAGCUUGCUCUGUGGGAUCAGUGGCGAACGGGUGAGUAACACGUGAGCAACCUGCCCCUGACUCUGGGAUAAGCGCUGGAAACGGCGUCUAAUACUGGAUAUGUGACGUGACCGCAUGGUCUGCGUCUGGAAAGAAUUUCGGUUGGGGAUGGGCUCGCGGCCUAUCAGCUUGUUGGUGAGGUAAUGGCUCACCAAGGCGUCGACGGGUAGCCGGCCUGAGAGGGUGACCGGCCACACUGGGACUGAGACACGGCCCAGACUCCUACGGGAGGCAGCAGUGGGGAAUAUUGCACAAUGGGCGCAAGCCUGAUGCAGCAACGCCGCGUGAGGGACGACGGCCUUCGGGUUGUAAACCUCUUUUAGCAGGGAAGAAGCGAAAGUGACGGUACCUGCAGAAAAAGCGCCGGCUAACUACGUGCCAGCAGCCGCGGUAAUACGUAGGGCGCAAGCGUUAUCCGGAAUUAUUGGGCGUAAAGAGCUCGUAGGCGGUUUGUCGCGUCUGCUGUGAAAUCCGGAGGCUCAACCUCCGGCCUGCAGUGGGUACGGGCAGACUAGAGUGCGGUAGGGGAGAUUGGAAUUCCUGGUGUAGCGGUGGAAUGCGCAGAUAUCAGGAGGAACACCGAUGGCGAAGGCAGAUCUCUGGGCCGUAACUGACGCUGAGGAGCGAAAGGGUGGGGAGCAAACAGGCUUAGAUACCCUGGUAGUCCACCCCG
This 721-nucleotide ribosomal RNA is filed under the name Microbacterium sp. ehT15. RNAcentral describes it as "bacterial SSU rRNA". It matches the Rfam family "Bacterial small subunit ribosomal RNA", at positions 68 to 802 of the family's 1533-position model. The record is from RNAcentral. Lineage: Bacteria; Bacillati; Actinomycetota; Actinomycetes; Micrococcales; Microbacteriaceae.